GUAAAUCUUCCCAAUAAUGGGAACAUUCUUUCCAAUAAAUUUAAAACCAAGUCUGAAUGAUGUUACAAGCCUGACCAUUUUGAGAAGGGUCCAGGGUUCUCUGACAUUAAUAUGCCUUCGUAACAGAAGCAGCCAACACUGAAUUGGGAAUCGAGUUAAUUGAUGCCUCCUCUGCAUGCUGGCCUGUCAUGUCCUAAUGAUCUUCCUUUGGAAAUUGUUACUCUAUACUAGAGAUCAGUAACUUUAGAAAGCGAGCUUGAGUUUCAUCUUCGGCCUGCAAUGAAAAUGUUUUCUGUAUUACUAUACUUUUCCUCAAUCUCUUGACAAUCUAUUGUAAAAGGAGAGGGUGAGCGUGUGCAUGUAAGUUUUCUGCAGAAGGCAUUAGGUUAAUUUAGUUGGGAAUCAUUAGAGUGACAGGAGAUCGUCAGCUCUACUACUUAUAUUAUGAGAAAUCAUUCUAGCAGACAAUGCAAAAUAUUAAGAGAGAAAAACAGAUAAGUAAUCAAAGGACAAGAAGUGCUUGUUUUUUUAUAGGUGAGAAUAACAGUUCUGGCCAUAGCUGAAGAUAUUCAAUUUGGCACAUGUUGGCUUUUAUUGAAUAGUGUCAGCCAUCAAGUCAUCAGAAUCAACAUACGUGGGAAUAGUACAAAAACCAAUAGUCACAGUUGAAAAGGAUAUGAAAAUGAACACAAUGAAGAGCAUUUGCUUCCCUACUACCAGGCCACAAUGACUUAUGGCUUAUAUCAGGAUUGUGCUCCACCAUGUCAGGUAAGUUACAAACAUCAUCAUCGAUUGUGAAGCACACUGGUAUGUUGGAGUAGGCAGAUAAGUUCUCCUACUUCAAUUUUUCGUUGUACCUUUUGUAUAAAUGGGAAAUACUCUGAUAAAUAUGUUAUUUUUCUCAUAAAACAAAAAUAAAAAAGUCAUCCACAAUAAGGCUAGUUAGUGAACUAUUCUCUAUUUGGAGUAGAUCCAGAAAUUAGGGCUAGUUUUUGCAACUCCUGCAACUCUAGAGAGUGAUCUUCAGAGAGAUGGAGAAGGCUAUUGCUGCUUGGAAUUGGUAACAGGAUUUCUAUUUUGACAUAAAGUUAUGCCAUUUCGUCCUUUGUGUAGUGUGUUGAUGGCGCUGAAGGAAUGUGCUGUUGCCAACAAUGGGAAGUGGUGAAAAGCAUAGAACUGUCUGAAUCUCUGUAUUGCAUAACGAUAAAUGGAAUAUUAGCUAGUGAGCUUUUUUAGCAUACAUGAAAAGAUAAUGGAUUUGAAUCUCUAGUGCCAUUAGGGUUUGAUGAGUUACAUAAUGCCAAGUGAUGCAUCCUAGAAUUUUGUUCUGCAACUGUGAAACUGUCAACUCAAUUUUCUCUGUUACUUACUAUCACUUUGUUUGAAAGUGAAAUGAUGAUACUGUGCAGAUUCUAUUUGCUUUUAGAUUCCUCUGCUGGCCCUUGAGUUUAUAAUUUGAAUGGCAUUGUCAGAAUGGACACUUUCAAGUCUUAUUUUGCCCAGAUCAGGUCUUGAUACUUGUUCAUAGAUGUCCAUAGUACAUGCUUAUAUAGGUCAAGUGGGUUUAGCCUUCCAAAAGAACAGUAAUUACUUUUCUGAUAUUGUAAUAGAUAAUUGAAAACUUUGAAGUUUGUUUUCCUUAUAAUGAAAUUUGACAUGCAACCUUUUAUAGGUGCCCUUACUAGGUGGAGCGUUUUGUGCAUGCACAUGGCACUUCUUUUAUAAUGCAGAAUCUUUAGAGGUAUUAGUGGCUAUACAAGCAGCAUUAACUGUGAUCGGUAAUGUGACAAUCUUCAUUGCUGCAUUCCGAAUAUUCAAGUCUUCAGAGGAAAGCUCAAAGAAUCUAUGAACUCUACAUAUGUGGCAAGCGAUAAGGAAUCUAAUUUCCCUUUCUUUGACCAGAGUCUGCUGUCGGGAUAUAAAUGAAAAGUGGAAAUUUUUUUCCAAAAACGAAAUUGUGGAAGCUCAUCAAUUUUAUGAAUUACGUUAUCUCCUUGCCCUCGUGGAAGGAGUUCGUGGAAGUUUGCCUUCACUUGCUGCCACUAGCCAGAUGGCUGGAAAGUAUUUGCCGCCAUAUAUGAGUUUGUCAAUCGAGUUAUUUGACUUGGGCUCUCUGCUGCAAUAUCGUACACUUUGCUCAACUCGGCCAAACAUCAUAUGGCAUAACAACGUUUAUUGACUUUGUAUCCAGUUCUUGUCAUGCUUUAGCUUCUUUAUUGCUGAAAAGCCUUUUUAUUUGGUAUUAUGCCUUUUAAUCCGUCUUUACAGUUUCGUGUUUCAACUGGGUCUAUUGUGCUUAGCACCAAAAGUUUGCGAACUAUGAUGACUAUCCUGACAAAUGUUCCUGACAUGUAUGAUUGAAGUAGAUGAACCUGGAAUUCGUUAGUCGUGUUUAGAUAAGACACACUAUUACUUGUUGGUUA
Molecule: non-coding RNA, 2423 nt
Organism: Coffea arabica (coffee)
Lineage: Eukaryota; Viridiplantae; Streptophyta; Magnoliopsida; Gentianales; Rubiaceae
Source: RefSeq, a predicted model, not a curated record